UCCCUGGUAGCUCAGAUGGUAAAGCAUCUGUCUACAAUGCAGGAGACCCAGGUUCAAUCCCUGGGUCGGGAA
RNAcentral lists this transfer RNA (72 nucleotides) under Ovis aries (sheep). It matches the Rfam family "tRNA". Rfam says of the family: Transfer RNA (tRNA) molecules are approximately 80 nucleotides in length. Their secondary structure includes four short double-helical elements and three loops (D, anti-codon, and T loops). Lineage: Eukaryota; Metazoa; Chordata; Mammalia; Artiodactyla; Bovidae. The record is from Rfam by way of RNAcentral.